Molecule: ribosomal RNA, 711 nt
Filed under: Triticum aestivum (bread wheat)
Lineage: Eukaryota; Viridiplantae; Streptophyta; Magnoliopsida; Poales; Poaceae
Description: partial small subunit ribosomal RNA
Source: RNAcentral
AUGUGUCCGAUCAAGAAGGAGAUGAGCGGGGAGUCCGGCUCGCCGUGCAGCGGGGAGAACUUCUACUCGCCCUCCACGUCGCGGGAGCAUCAGCAGGCGAAGCAGGCGGCGUGGACGUCGGCGCCGGCGAAGCGGCCGGCGGGGCGGACCAAGUUCAGGGAGACGCGGCACCCGGUAUACCGCGGCGUGCGGCGCAGGGGCAAUGCCGGGCGGUGGGUGUGCGAGGUGCGCGUGCCCGGCAGGCGCGGGAGCAGGCUCUGGCUCGGCACCUUCGACACCGCCGAGGCCGCCGCGCGCGCCAACGACGCCGCCAUGAUCGCGCUCUCCGCCGGGGGCGCGGGCUGCCUCAACUUCGCCGACUCCGCCGAGCUGCUCGCCGUGCCGGCGGCCUCCUCGUACCGCAGCCUCGACGAGGUCCGCCACGCCGUCGUGGAGGCCGUCGAGGACUUCCUGCGGCGGGAGGCGAUCGCCGAGGAGGACGCGCUCUCGGGCACCUCGUCGUCCGCGCCCUCCUCCCUCACCGACGACGAGUCGUCCUCUUCCCCGCCCGAGGACUCGCCGUUCGAGCUGGAUGUCCUGAGCGACAUGGGCUGGGACCUGUACUACGCGAGCCUGGCGCAGGCGAUGCUGAUGGCGCCGCCUUCUUCCAUGGCCGCGGCGCUCGGCGAUUACGGCGAGGUCGAUGUGCCACUCUGGAGCUACCAGAGCUAG